AGGCAUGGUAUCACAUGCCUGUGAUCCUAACUACCAGGAAAGCUGAAACUGGAGGAUCUCUUGAGUUCAUGAACUCUGGGCUAAGCUGAUGAACUGUCUGCAUCAAAUUUGGCAUCGAUAUGAUAAGCCUCUGAAAGUGGGUGACCACCAGGUUGCCCAAGGAAGGACCCAGGUCAGAAAUAGAGCAGGUCAAAGUUCCCAUGCUAAUUAGUAGUGGGAUUGGUCCUGUACUCCAAAUCCGGACAAGAUGGGGAGACUUAGUCCUU
This 266-nucleotide signal recognition particle RNA is filed under the name Vombatus ursinus (common wombat). Its description in RNAcentral is "Metazoan signal recognition particle RNA (ENSVURG00010001050.1)". It matches the Rfam family "Metazoan signal recognition particle RNA". Rfam says of the family: The signal recognition particle (SRP) is a universally conserved ribonucleoprotein. Lineage: Eukaryota; Metazoa; Chordata; Mammalia; Diprotodontia; Vombatidae. The record is from Rfam by way of RNAcentral.